GUGAAUGCCCUCUAUAGGCAGGAGGUUUCCUUUAUUCCUCCUUGGUCCUACACAGGGCUGGGGCGGCUGCGUGGUCCCCUUGCAGAGGAGCAGUGGGGGGGGGGAGGGAGGCAGGUGGGAUUUCUGCCACGCUGUCACCUGGAGAUCAGAUCGCCGUCGUGAUAAUCCUCCCAGAAACAAAAAUACAGAGAAGAACCGGUUGGACGGAAAGUGGAGGGUUGGACGGAGAGCACAGCUGUGCUGGGGAGCAGAAGCAUGGCUGAGGGCACAUGGUUACGCGUGGGGCUGCUGCAGCUCUCGGGCAAGUUGCAGCAUUUAAUUAAUGAGUCGUUAUUAUUGCUCCCAUGUGCUGGAUUGGGCUGUUUGCUCUGCUGAGCAGAGCUAUCUGAGUGCUUGGAGUCGGGGUCAGGUAAAUCCAUUGCUUGGGGACAACACAGCCACAGCAUGCAGGGCUCCUGAGCUGCCACUGCAUCCCACAUCCAUGGCAGAGCUCAGCCCCUCUCUGCGCCUGCCUCAGUUUCCCCAUCUGAGUAACGCUGAAUUGGGUACUGCUGCUUCAUACAGCAGGGAGAAGAGCUGGAGAUUUAUCCCUUGCUCCGGUGAGGACAUGGGGAAUUUGGUGACAGGAGCAUUGGUGUGAGGGGACACAGCUGUCCCCAUGGCACAGGUGGGCUGUGCUGCGCAGUGUUGCGGGGUCCCUGUGCCCCAUGUUCUGCCCAUGGCAGGCUGCGUGGUGGCCCCGGACGCUUUCCCCCGUGCCAGGAUAAACAGAGGUGAAUGGCUUUGCAGGCUCCGCCGAUGGCUUUUCCAGCAGUAAUUAACUGGGCUGCAAUAAAAGCCUGAAGGUUUCUGGGCCAUAUGGCCACUGCCCUGCUCACCAACCUGAUGCAUGACAGCGCAGUGACAUUGUGGCUGCAGGGCACACGGCUGCUAUCGCCUUCCCAAAUCCAUCCAUCCCGGAGCCUGGGGGUGUGGAUGGCUCUCCCAAAGAGGAGAAAACACAUUAGAGCUGCUUGGUCCAUGAAGCCACGUGUCCUCAGGAGGCACCUCACUGUCCUCACACUGCACUGGGGCACUGGAGGCGUUUGCUGGGCAGGGCUUGGAGCAUCUCACAAGGGCAUGUGCCAGAGUUUGUCCCUAUUUCUCUCUUCAGCCUUUCUUGGAGAGGAGAGAAAGGGGGAAUGAGGGACACAGUCACCUUUGUCCAUCUCCUUCGUCUCUGGAGAUGCGAACAGAGUCGUACAAUCCAGGAAAAAUCCUCUUCCCCAUCAUGGAGCCACGGCUCGUGACUUGGAUGGUGCAGUGGGGCUUGUGGGUUUUCUUCCUCUCCCUCCUGGUUGCCUUCCCAGCGUCUGUCUGUCCUGGCUGGCUCGGAUUUUGGGCCAACCCCAAGAACACUGAGUUUACUUUCAGGAACGUCCCCCUGGGUGGACCCUGCGGGAGGAGGACGGUGGUGGAGGGAACUGUGCCUCUCCUGUUCCCGGGGCUUGUUUGAAGGUUGCUGUGGUCAGUGCAGAGGCUGCCCGCGAAGACCUGAGGAUGUUUGGUGUGAGCUCAUCUGGAGGCUUAUUUAGGGACCACCAGCGAGCUGCCCCGUACCACAGGAAUUGGGCUGCGGACACCUUUUGAUAUGGCAAAGGCAAAUAUUGAGAAACCCUUCUGCACGGGGAGGGGGCUGGUGGGCACCGCCUGCAGGCUGCAGCUGGGGUGGAAUGUGUGAUGGAUGGCAGUGGGGUGGCACAUGAAAGGUGCACAGAGGUCGUUAAAGCGGGGAUCCAGAGCCCCCGGCUGCCUCUGGGAGACCACCAGAACUUUGUGGGGUUGGGACAGAGCAGCGUGUAUUCCUUCUCCUCCCUUCAUCUUUAAAUACCACCCCGCAGAUCGAAAGGAAAAAAUAAAUGCACUCAAAAUGGCAUCGUUUUGCGGUGCCUUGAGGCCUAUUUAUAUUUUUAUUGCUCCCACCGUUCUUAGAUAAUAACCUUCUUCAUGAAAACGUUGGUAUGUGUGUGCAAUUAAUCCGUGCAUCAUCUUCAGAAGGCAGUUUUAUAGCCGGGUGUAGGGCGGGGGCUGCGGGUUCCUGGCUGCCAUAGGGCUGAUCUCGAGGUUUUCAGCCUGUUUGGGGCCAAUCCGACCUCCUGUUCCCGAGGCUGCGAGCUCUCCUGGUUGAGUUACUCCGGAGCACGGUUGCUUCAUUCCCACUGUGUCGGUUGAGAAUACAUUUCCCGGCAGUGAAAUGAGUCCAACAUGCCCAGAAGUUGGUGUGCGGAGGGCUGAAUCAGGCUGACAUCAGGCAGAGCCCUGGGACGGGGCUGGCUGCUCCUCCCACUGGCAGCUCAGCAGUCCCAUUCCCGGUGGAAAAUGAACCAAAUCUUUUGACUUCCGACCGAAAUGUAAGAUGUGAGAUAAGUGUUUACUGGAAGGCUCCUGCUGCCAAAUAGCCUGGAGACCCUUUCCUUCCUCCUCUCUGAACAAGAGUCCAGGUGUUAACUGCCUCUCUGAGAUAUGUUCCUUAGCACAUCCUGAUCUGAAAGGAGAUUUGCGUGUUUGUCAGAAUGAUUUGGAGCCUUUGAACAGGCACACAAACCACAGGCUCUGAUCGGGCGUUACCAUCCCCAGAGGGUGUUCCGUCCAUGGGGAUGUGGCACUGAGGGACGUGGUUAUGGGGUAUGGUGGGGAUGGGUUGCAGUUGGACUUGGGGAUCUUAGUGGUCUUCUCCAACCUCGGUGAUUGUAUGAUUUCUGUGCUCCCAGUUCACCCCAAGCCAUCCAUCACAGAUUCAUUGCAAAGCUUUACAUUAUGACACUGUGUGCAUGGAGGGAUGAGGGGACGUAACACUGCUGUGGGGUGGGUUGGGCACAGGCGUGAGCUGCCUGCUGCUGCUUCCUAUCUGUGAUCGAAGUGCAAAUGGAGCAAGCUCAAGCCCCACGAUGUUUGUCUUGGAGAUUAGAUCUGGAGAGCCCUUGGUCUCCAAAUCCAUGCCGGGAAGAGUAGGGAGGAGUGGGCUGAGCCCUGCAGUACAUGCACCUCUUUAACCCUGCCUUAUAAAUGAGGGGUUAGAAGGAGAAACGGUGGAGUGGUGCAGGGCUUUGAAAUAACUUGAGGCGAAAAGAUGAGUGCAGCCUGAAUUGUUCCUGCCUGUGCGUGGGUUUUGUGUUUUCUCUUGGGGAAGAAAACACAAAACUCAGUGAUGCUGAAGCUGGAAGUGUCUGUCCCACGAGUAAGGACACAGCAUCUCCCAUAGCUCUGGGCCAUCUCAGAGCUUUAUAUGCAGCUCUUCCCCUUCCCAGAGCUCUGAGUCUGAUUGCUCCGCUGCAUCCCAGCUCCGUGCCUGCCCAGCAUGAUUUGUACCGUGCAUCCCUUCCCUGGUAAAUGUGAUGCUGAGAGCAUCCUGAGCUGCAGUGCAGCAUCCUCUGGGCACUGAGCAUCACUCCUGGGGCCAGCAGGCAGAAGCUGCCCUGAGCCUUUAAGGCUGGUGCAUGGGGCAGGAGAGGGGGGAAGCAUCUCCCCCUGGGAUACGUUGCAGUAAUGUUCCCAAACACUUCAUCUCUUGUACAGUGCGUACUACAAGUGUUCCUACAGUGCUCAGGGCUGUUUUUGCAGUGCUGUUUAUAUAAGAGAUCACGCAUGGUGCCUACAUGCUUCUGGCACUUAUAAACCCAGGUAGGCUAUGUUUAUCCUGGGGAUUGGCCCUGGUCGCAGUCAUCUGGGGCCCAGCCAGCAGCAUAGCUAGACUGAUAUAUAUGUACAUUAUUUAAAAGAGCUCUGGGUGUUGAGAGGCCAAGCCUGCUUGCUGUGCUGAUGAAAAACGUGGCUGUGAGCAGCUCUACUCUAAGCCAGCGUAGUUGCGCCAGUGGGCAGGGGGGAGCACCUGUGGGGUGCAGCAAUGGGACCUCAAGGUGGCUGUGGGCCUUGUGGUGAUGGUCCUGUCCAGGGGGAUUUGCUCCUGUCUGUGUCCCCUCUGCUGCUCAGGGGUCUGCGGGUUUAGUAUCAUCAUAGAAUUGUAGGAUCGUGAAGGUUGACCAUCUCCAGGGAUGGUGACUCCACCGCUUCCCUGCACAUCCUUACUGAAGGCUUUAAGGAGCCUUGAACGGCUGGAGCUGGGCUGGCAGAUGUCCCUUAUGUCCCAGGGCCUGGUGAAGGGCUGCAGGUAGGGAUGGAUUUCCAGUUUUUCAGCUUACUCUUAUUGCUUGAGGUCGUACAAAUUGCCAUGGGGAUUUUGGCUCUUCUUCAUGGGCAGUUGUGGAAGGGGGGAGUAGGGGGGGGAUAAUCUGUAACAAAUGGACUGCCUGGUGCAGAUCUAGGCUUGGGACCAUGUGGUCUGUGUCACUUGUGAUUUGUUUCAUUGAGUCUUUCCCAUGGGAUGGGUUACUUGGGUUGUGGAUCAGCACCUAUAAUGCAUGUGGACCCAAAGUUUUCAGUCUCAUCCGAGAGCCCUCCUGGAAAUUGGAUCAACCUCCAGCAUCUGUGUCCUCCCUAGGGAGUCCAAACCCAGUAUGCUGGGGCUGGGCUGAGUGCUCUUUACUUGAUCUAGAAGGCAAAAUUUAAUUAAAUGAGAUGUUGAUCUCAUCCUCUGGGAGUUCUCCUUAUGGGCACCUGUGCCCUGGAUUGUGCCCAAGGCAUGGGAAGUGGGAAAGAGGAGGGUGGUGGGAGAAAGGCUGGGCAGAUGGGGGCACCCAAGGGCUAUAAUUGGUUGUUGGGGGAUGUUUGCUCGUGAUGGUCUCAUGCCUUGAAUCAGAACAUCAAACUCAGCUCCAUGUGGCUGUGCAUAGGAGAAAGUGGGUGUGAUGCUGUGGCACAUUCAGUGGGGUUUGUGGUGAUGCUUGUGAGCGUAGGGUGAAGAUCCCUUGUUUGGGUUUCUUGGAGCAUUAUGGGUGAAGAUCACCUGUUUGAGUUUCUUGGAGCACUGAUGGUAUUUCCUCUCUGAGGACAGAGGAUGGGUUUUAAAACCAUGCCAAAGAGUGUGUGGCUUUAAAAAUGAAAUCAUAUUUAGUGCCUGUGAUCCUCCCAGUAUUACAUGAAAAUAUCUUUCUUGGAAACUUGACAUCUGCCUGCACUGUGAGCAUGCUGCGAACUGGAGCAGAGAGUUGGGAGCUGCCUGCCAGGCAGGGGUGUGCAGGGCUGGGGAUGGGUUGGCAGCUGCAGGCCUGGGGUUGCGCUGGUGCUCCGGCAAGGAGAGCCUAUUAAAUGGGAACGGGCAGAUUAAUAAAUCAAGGCACCUGAAAAAUGAAACCAGGGGGUUGAAAGAAGGUUUUUUGUUGAUUUUUUUUUUUCUUUUUUCAGACUUUUUUUUUUUUCUUUUCCCCCGGUCCUUUCUCAAUUAAAGCAAACAAACAUAAAGCUGCAGAGCGUGGCCGUGUUGCGCUGCGGUGAGCUCAGUGCCUGCUGCGGGUGCCUGCGAGGUGGGCGCUGAGCACAGCGCCGAAAUGAACCCCAUAAAUUACUGCUACAGUGCUGGGAGGUGUUGAAAAGGGAUCAGUGGUUCCCUGGCUCUGGUGGGCAGCAGUGGGGAGAGGGCUGGGGGCAGCCGGGGCUCCUCUCAUGGGUAAAUCAUCCAUUCUGGAAAGUGGAUUUUGUCUAGAAAUCUGUCUUUGUGCACCUAUGCUGUUGAGCAGCAAUGAAAGGAAGAUGUUGCUGCUUGGGCUCUGUUGGUACCCGGCCAUAUGGGCAUGGAAAUCACCUGGAAUCACUGGGAAAUACACAGAAGUGGUACAAAGCCCUGUGUCCAACAGCAAGCUGGGGUGCUGGGGAGGGUGAGGAACAAGGAGCUUUUCACUUGGACGCUUUCUUCCUGACCUACAUUUCUAUAAUCCUGCGUAAAGUUGAAGUUUCAACCAAUUGGUGUUUUCCAAGUGAGAAACAGUUUAAAAAGAAAGUAAAAUAAAAUUCCUGCCUGGCUGUAGGAAUGGCUCUGCUGGGAGGUCACCGGCGCGGCCCCAUCCCUACGCUUUGCCUUCUGUGCGGACAUGCAAAGUCCUCGGGGUCAUCAAAUGAGCUCUAAUCAUUCCCAGUCCCGUAAGCGUUCCCAGUCCUGGGGCUGAGUUUUGGAGCACUAAAAGGAAGAAGACCACAGCCAGUGCAGGGCCAGUGCAGGGCUGGCUGUGGCCAUCACCACCUUGCAUUGCCUUGGAGAGAUGUGACGCUGUGUGUCAGGGCUGUGCCAAACCCGGAUAGCUGGGUUAAAAGCAAGAUGCAGAGAGCAAAAGGGAUCUGAGAAAUGCCAGAAGUUGACCUGCUAUGAAUGCAACAGAAAUAAGGUGUGCAAAGGGAGUUGGGUGAUGCCUUUUGCUGGCUGCUGCCUGGGUUGAUUCCUGCGCUCUGCAGCAUUUUCCAUGUGAUGCUGCAGCGGUUUUGUGACAGCAGAGGUGACCAUUGCUCCCGCGGGGGAUUCUCAGCUGAGAAAUGCAAGGAUCCAUUGUUUUAUGGCCAUUUUUUUGUUCCUCUUACAGGGAAGUUUUAUUUAAAUUUAGCCAUUAGAAAAACAAAACAACCCAAUUUUAAUGCCUUACCACUUGAAAACAAAAGAGCAGUGUGGUUCAGAGCUCUGCGCUGAGUUAUGCACAUAAGGAAUUUUUGUUGUUGCUCUCCACUUUCCUGCUCAGAGACAGCUGCCCAACUUCUCCAAAGGCCAACGCAGGACUGAGGGCAGCUCUGCAGCAUCCCACCCUGUGUCAGCAGUAACCCUAAUCCUGCCCUGGGGUACCGUCUCAAUGCAGCUCAGAGGUAAUUUUACUCCUUGAUCCGGAGUUGAAGCCCACUGUGUGAAUUACGCAGCGUUUUGCCGUGCUGAUUUACUGCAACAGGUUGUGUAAUUUCCAGUUUAUAGGGAUGGGUGCAUGGUGGGUUUCCCAGUUAACCUGCAGGAGCUCUGGGAGGGGGGGAGUCCUGCAGCCUGCCCAGUUUCUCCCUCAAAGCACAGCCCCGAUGCUCAGCAUACUGCUUGCUGCUGUGACCAUUGGUGCCUGGGAGAGGGCUGCAUUGUGCCAAGGGUUCUCGGAUGAGUCUCUGUUCUGGGGCUGUGGUCCCACUGUGCCCACCCUGUCACACUUUGUUGGUGUCUGAUAUCCUUGUAUUUUCUUGCAGAAGGAAGGGGAGCACAGAGAACUAAUCAGCUUUGGGUCAGCACAGGAAAAAACGCUGCUUAUGUUGAUAAUCCCUGGGGGUAGAGAGCAGCUCAAGGUUGCAAAACAAGCGUGCAGCGUGGUCACACUGUCAGGGAACCAGGGCUGGUGGGACAGAUCCUGUCUCUGGCACAGGCAGGGCUCGGUGUGGGUGCUUUGCCACCUGUGUCUGGGGAUGCUCCCUGGUACAAAGCUUUGCAGAAAGCAGCCUGACCCCGCUGUGAGGACUGGGAUUGCCCUGGCUGAGCCCAAGCGAGUAGGGAUUUGCUGCGCCCUUCCCACCCGUAUGCUCCACUCACAGGGUGAGGAGCAGGCUGAGGGUGUGAGGAUAAGAAUGGAUACUCCUUUAAUCCUUUUAUCCUGGGAACACAUCCCUGCUCGCCUUCGCUUGCAGGCAGGAGGUGCUGCAGAACUGGAGGACGUUUGCAGGUAUGGAGAGCUCAGCUCUCCACUCUCCUUCAUGCAGACCCAGCACCCCGAUAAGCUCCAAUCUGCUUUGGAAAUGGCAGUAAUGCACCUGGGCUGGUUUUGCCGUGCUGUCCUUUCUGAGCUGGCCUGGCCAGCAGCCUCUCUGCCUCUUGCUGUGCUUCUGAGCCUCCAGCUCAUCGGGUAGAACCCAGGAGCUGGGUGGGAUCAUCAGGGAAAGGCAGAAAGCAAAGACAGCUGCUUGGUUCCCGCCUGCGGUGGGGGAAUGCUGGAGUCCCAGCAGCAGGAGCAAAAAUGCAGGGAGGCAAACAAAGUUCACGGCCCGGGAACACCGUGCUGCUGCUGUCAGUCUGUCUGUCAGAGGGUUAUCACUUUGGGGAUGCUUUUAAUAAAGGAGUCAGAGCUGUCAUCGGGUGCCAGAGCCUGCAGGAAACCUCCAGCCCCUCCUGGGAGCGUGUUAUCCAAGUCUCAAUUUUGCUUACCACCAAAAAUGAAGGAGGAUGGGACUUUCUUCAUUCUUUCAUCUGCCUGUCAGUCUUAAUGUGACACUUUAAAGAGUGUCGUUGCUUGAAAGAAUUACCAGGGACAGCCAGAGAUGGAGGCCCCCCCAUCCCACACACACAGCAGGUGGAGGUGUGUGUGCUGGAGGGAUUUCUAUUGGGGAUGGUUGAAGGGAUGUUUCUAGUCUCACCUGUUUUAGGGUUGAGUGCCUAUGGCUGUGGUGAUGGUGCAUCUGAGCACUGUGAGUAUUUGGGGCGUGUUGGAUCUUACACCAAGCUCUUGCUGUAAACGGCAAACACCCUUUGCUCUCUUUGGGGUGCCCAGCCCUGGAGCAAGGGGCUCUCGUGCAUCCUGACCCCUGCAGUGCAGUGCUGAGCAUCCUGCUCUGCUCAGCCCCGGGUUAGGGAGGAGCACCCCGUAGCCAUGAGCAUGCGUUUCGUUCCAGGCACCGUCUGCCCAUGAUUCACAGUGAUCUGCACUGUGUCAGGUCAGUGACUCAGUGCCAGCCCAGCAGCAGCUCUGCAGCAAGGCUGACAGCACCUGUCUGGGAUGCAGGUUAUUUAUUAACGCGUUACCAGAAGGGGUGGUAUGGGAACAGAACGGCUUCGCUUCCUUUAGCUGAAGGAGUUUUAAUGGCAUCUAUCUGAAACCGUGUGGGAUUUUGGCAAGGUUUUGGUGUCUGAUGCUUAGGGCCAACAGUGGAGGCUCAAGGUGCACCUGAGAGGAGAGCUGAGGCGCUGCAGCAGGAACAGCCACCAGCACAUCGCUGCGGAUGGGAGGGAGGAAGGGCAGAGGCAGCACAGUGCCCAGCAGCCCUCAGGGAUCGGGGUGCACCCGGGGUCAUCCUGUGCUCCUUCCCCCAGCGCUGACAUGGGAACGGCCCCAGUGCAGCCACCCACCGCCGCUCGCUGUGAUCCAGGGUCCUGAGCUGACCUCGCUCUGCUGCACCCACGCAGGGCAGGGAUGGCUGAAUUACUGCUCCCUGCUGCGCUCUGUACAUCCUCCUCCUGGCCGGGUGGCCUCAGGAUCUGUGGGGCUGGAUGGCUGCGUGCUCUCAGGUCAAACAGUAGCUCCAUUUUUUCCCUUGUGAAGGACCAAGAGCUUGCCCUGGUUCCAAGGAAGUAGCUGUGGAUUUUAAUUUAAUUUUAUUUUUUCCCUCCUCCGUUCUUCUUUCUGAAUCUUUUUGGGAUUUUGGGCUCUUAAUGAGGAUGCUUGGACCAGCACAGGGUGCAGCCCCAUGCAGAGGGGUGAACGCCUCUGGAGAAGCAAUGGGAGCAGCACACCAAGAGCUGGCAACCGCAGUGCCUUGGGUCUGAAACUGGGAGCUGUGUCCCUUCACAUCGCAUGGCUGCAUCCUCCCCAGCACAUCCCAUAGGGAUUAGGUGGGAUUCUGGGGGGCGCAAGGCCAAACCGCAGUGAGGGGAACGUCAAGAAGGGAAAAAUGUCACCCUCAGAAACAAUUAAACUGCUUAAUAAAAUCCGUUGCCUCUCGGAGUGCUCGCUGUUCUUUUCCGUUUGCCUUGGCUCAGCCACACUUACAUCAUGG
This is a long non-coding RNA of Gallus gallus (chicken), 9591 nucleotides long. NCBI's taxonomy places the organism in Eukaryota, Metazoa, Chordata, Aves, Galliformes, Phasianidae. The record is from Ensembl.